UGAAGCAUAGUAUAAUAUAAUAUAACUCGCUUACACUGAGUUGAUGGUUAAGCUAUAACCUGCUUCAA
Molecule: transfer RNA, 68 nt
Filed under: Nerita melanotragus
Lineage: Eukaryota; Metazoa; Mollusca; Gastropoda; Cycloneritida; Neritidae
Description: tRNA-Val
Source: RNAcentral